RNAcentral lists this ribosomal RNA (253 nucleotides) under uncultured bacterium. RNAcentral describes it as "partial 16S ribosomal RNA". It matches the Rfam family "Bacterial small subunit ribosomal RNA", at positions 524 to 776 of the family's 1533-position model. The record is from RNAcentral.
UACGUAGGGUGCAAGCGUUGUCCGGAAUUACUGGGCGUAAAGGGCUCGUAGGCGGCCAACUAAGUCAGACGUGAAAUCCCCAGGCUCAACCUGGGAACUGCGUCUGAUACUGGAUGGCUUGAAUUCGGGAGAGGGAUGCAGAAUUCCAGGUGUAGCGGUGAAAUGCGUAGAUAUCUGGAGGAAUACCGGUGGCGAAGGCGGCAUCCUGGACCGACAUUGACGCUGAGGCGCGAAAGCUAGGGGAGCAAACGGG